Molecule: small nuclear RNA, 107 nt
Organism: Rattus norvegicus (Norway rat)
Lineage: Eukaryota; Metazoa; Chordata; Mammalia; Rodentia; Muridae
Source: Ensembl
GUGCUUGCUUUGCAGCACACUUACUAAAAUUGGAACAACACAGAGAGAAGAUUAGUGUGGCCCCUGAGCAAAGAAUGACACAGCUCUGAGAAGUGUUCCAUAUUUUU